RNAcentral lists this unclassified non-coding RNA (408 nucleotides) under uncultured Cortinarius. RNAcentral describes it as "sequence contains ITS2". The stretch from base 1 to 154 matches the Rfam family "5.8S ribosomal RNA". The record is from RNAcentral. Lineage: Eukaryota; Fungi; Basidiomycota; Agaricomycetes; Agaricales; Cortinariaceae.
AACUUUUAGCAACGGAUCUCUUGGCUCUCGCAUCGAUGAAGAACGCAGCGAAAUGCAAUAAGUAAUGGGAAUUGCAGAAUUCAGUGAAUCAUCGAAUCUUUGAACGCACCUUGCGCUCCUUGGUAUUCCGAGGAGCAUGCCUGCUUGAGUGUCAUUAAUAUAUAAAUCAAUCUUCUCUUGAUGAGUGGUUUGGAUGUGGGGGUUUGCUGGCAGCCUCUUUGAGGAUUCAGCUCCCCUGAAAUGCAUUAGCAGAACAAACCCGUUCAUUGGUGUGAUAAACUAUCUACGCUAUUGAAUGUGAGGUGGCAGUUCAGCUUUCUAACGGUCUUUGGACAAAUUCAUCAUUAAUGUGACCUCAAAUCAGGUAGGACUACCCGCUGAACUUAAGCAUAUCAAUAAGCGGAGGCU